This 850-nucleotide ribosomal RNA is filed under the name Escherichia coli. RNAcentral describes it as "partial 23S ribosomal RNA". It matches the Rfam family "Bacterial large subunit ribosomal RNA", at positions 418 to 1269 of the family's 2925-position model. The record is from RNAcentral. Lineage: Bacteria; Pseudomonadati; Pseudomonadota; Gammaproteobacteria; Enterobacterales; Enterobacteriaceae.
CGGGACACGUGGUAUCCUGUCUGAAUAUGGGGGGACCAUCCUCCAAGGCUAAAUACUCCUGACUGACCGAUAGUGAACCAGUACCGUGAGGGAAAGGCGAAAAGAACCCCGGCGAGGGGAGUGAAAAAGAACCUGAAACCGUGUACGUACAAGCAGUGGGAGCCUCUUAAUGGGGUGACUGCGUACCUUUUGUAUAAUGGGUCAGCGACUUAUAUUCUGUAGCAAGGUUAACCGAAUAGGGGAGCCGAAGGGAAACCGAGUCUUAACUGGGCGUUAAGUUGCAGGGUAUAGACCCGAAACCCGGUGAUCUAGCCAUGGGCAGGUUGAAGGUUGGGUAACACUAACUGGAGGACCGAACCGACUAAUGUUGAAAAAUUAGCGGAUGACUUGUGGCUGGGGGUGAAAGGCCAAUCAAACCGGGAGAUAGCUGGUUCUCCCCGAAAGCUAUUUAGGUAGCGCCUCGUGAAUUCAUCUCCGGGGGUAGAGCACUGUUUCGGCAAGGGGGUCAUCCCGACUUACCAACCCGAUGCAAACUGCGAAUACCGGAGAAUGUUAUCACGGGAGACACACGGCGGGUGCUAACGUCCGUCGUGAAGAGGGAAACAACCCAGACCGCCAGCUAAGGUCCCAAAGUCAUGGUUAAGUGGGAAACGAUGUGGGAAGGCCCAGACAGCCAGGAUGUUGGCUUAGAAGCAGCCAUCAUUUAAAGAAAGCGUAAUAGCUCACUGGUCGAGUCGGCCUGCGCGGAAGAUGUAACGGGGCUAAACCAUGCACCGAAGCUGCGGCAGCGACACUAUGUGUUGUUGGGUAGGGGAGCGUUCUGUAAGCCUGUGAAGGUGUACUGUGAGGU